CUGGUAGUCCACGCCCUAAACGAUGUCAACUAGCUGUUGGGGCCUUCGGGCCUUGGUAGCGCAGCUAACGCGUGAAGUUGACCGCCUGGGGAGUACGGUCGCAAGAUUAAAACUCAAAGGAAUUGACGGGGACCCGCACAAGCGGUGGAUGAUGUGGAUUAAUUCGAUGCAACGCGAAAAACCUUACCUACCCUUGACAUGUCUGGAAUUCCGAAGAGAUUUGGAAGUGCUCGCAAGAGAACCGGAACACAGGUGCUGCAUGGCUGUCGUCAGCUCGUGUCGUGAGAUGUUGGGUUAAGUCCCGCAACGAGCGCAACCCUUGUCAUUAGUUGCUACGAAAGGGCACUCUAAUGAGACUGCCGGUGACAAACCGGAGGAAGGUGGGGAUGACGUCAAGUCCUCAUGGCCCUUAUGGGUAGGGCUUCACACGUCAUACAAUGGUCGGGACAGAGGGUCGCCAACCCGCGAGGGGGAGCCAAUCCCAGAAACCCGAUCGUAGUCCGGAUCGCAGUCUGCAACUCGACUGCGUGAAGUCGGAAUCGCUAGUAAUCGCGGAUCAGCAUGUCGCGGUGAAUACGUUCCCGGGUCUUGUACACACCGCCCGUCACACCAUGGGAGUGGGUUUUACCAGAAGUAGUUAGCCUAACCGUAA
This 652-nucleotide ribosomal RNA is filed under the name Achromobacter spanius. Its description in RNAcentral is "bacterial SSU rRNA". It matches the Rfam family "Bacterial small subunit ribosomal RNA", at positions 787 to 1444 of the family's 1533-position model. Lineage: Bacteria; Pseudomonadati; Pseudomonadota; Betaproteobacteria; Burkholderiales; Alcaligenaceae. The record is from RNAcentral.